AGUGAACGCUGGCGGUAGGCCUAACACAUGCAAGUCGAACGGCAGCACAGAGGAGCUUGCUCCUUGGGUGGCGAGUGGCGGACGGGUGAGGAACACAUCGGAAUCUACUCUGUCGUGGGGGAUAACGUAGGGAAACUUACGCUAAUACCGCAUACGACCUACGGGUGAAAGCAGGGGACCUUCGGGCCUUGCGCGAUUGAAUGAGCCGAUGUCGGAUUAGCUAGUUGGCGAGGUAAAGGCCCACCAGGGCGACGAUGCGUAGCUGGUCUGAGAGGAGGAGCAGCAACACUGGAACUGAGACACGGUCCAGACUCCUACGGGAGGCAGCAGUGGGGAAUAUUGGACAAUGGGCGCAAGCCUGAUCCAGCCAUACCGCGUGGGUGAAGAAGGCCUUCGGGUUGUAAAGCCCUUUUGUUGGGAAAGAAAUCCAGCUGGCUAAUACCCGGUUGGGAUGACGGUACCCAAAGAAUAAGCACCGGCUCACUUCGUGCCAGCCGCCGCCGUAA
Molecule: ribosomal RNA, 506 nt
Filed under: uncultured bacterium
Lineage: Bacteria
Description: partial 16S ribosomal RNA
Rfam family: Bacterial small subunit ribosomal RNA
Source: RNAcentral